UACGAAGGGGGCUAGCGUUGCUCGGAAUUACUGGGCGUAAAGGGAGCGUAGGCGGACAUUUAAGUCAGGGGUGAAAUCCCGGGGCUCAACCUCGGAAUUGCCUUUGAUACUGGGUGUCUUGAGUGUGGGAGAGGUAUGUGGAACUCCGAGUGUAGAGGUGAAAUUCGUAGAUAUUCGGAAGAACACCAGUGGCGAAGGCGACAUACUGGCCCAUUACUGACGCUGAGGUGCGAAAGCGUGGGGAGCAAACAGG
Molecule: ribosomal RNA, 253 nt
Filed under: uncultured bacterium
Lineage: Bacteria
Description: partial 16S ribosomal RNA
Rfam family: Bacterial small subunit ribosomal RNA
Source: RNAcentral